Molecule: ribosomal RNA, 279 nt
Filed under: uncultured bacterium
Lineage: Bacteria
Description: partial 16S ribosomal RNA
Rfam family: Bacterial small subunit ribosomal RNA
Source: RNAcentral
UGCCAGCAGCCGCGGUAAUACUGAAGGUGCAAGCGUUAAUCGGAAUCACUGGGCGUAAAGCGUGCGUAGGCGGCGCAGCAAGUCAGACGUGAAAGCCCUCGGCUCAACCGUGGAAUUGCAUUUGAUACUGCAUCGCUAGAGUAUAGGAGAGGGAAGUGGAAUUUCUGGUGUAGGAGUGAAAUCCGUAGAGAUCAGAAGGAACACCGGUGGCGAAGGCGACUUCCUGGACUAUUACUGACACUGAGGAGCGAAAGCGUGGGGAGCAAACAGGAUUAGAUA